Molecule: ribosomal RNA, 414 nt
Filed under: uncultured bacterium
Lineage: Bacteria
Description: bacterial SSU rRNA
Rfam family: Bacterial small subunit ribosomal RNA
Source: RNAcentral
AUUGAACGCUGGCGGCAGGCCUAACACAUGCAAGUCGAAUGGUAACAGGAAACAGCUUGCUGUUUCGCUGACGAGUGGCGGACGGGUGAGUAAUGUCUGGGAAACUGCCUGAUGGAGGGGGAUAACUACUGGAAACGGUAGCUAAUACCGCAUAACGUCGCAAGACCAAAGAGGGGGACCUUCGGCCUCUUGCCAUCAGAUGUGCCAGAUGGGAUUAGCUAGUAGGUGGGGUAACGGCUCACCUAGGCGACGAUCCCUAGCUGGUCUGAGAGGAUGACCAGCCACACUGGAACUGAGACACGGUCCAGACUCCUACGGGAGGCAGCAGUGGGGAAUAUUGCACAAUGGGCGCAAGCCUGAUGCAGCCAUGCCGCGUGUAUGAAGAAGGCCUCGGUGUAAGUACUUCUAGCGGGA